GACGACCCGCCACCGCCGACCCCGACCACGGCCUCCACUCCACCGCCAGCGCCACCUCCCCUUCCUGGCCGGAGAUCCACUCGAGCUCCACCCUCCUCUCGAUUAAUCUCCAAAUCCCGCCGUCGGCAACCCCCACCGGUGAAACCCCAUCACCACCGGCGACCUCCCUCCCUUCCUCUUCAGAUUGACGGAUGGGUGGGGACGGGGAGGGGCGGAUCUGCACCCGCACCCACCGGAGCGUCUUGCUACGGUGGCCCUCGCCGCUGAUGAACUCCACGACGCCCAUCUCCGGCCAUGGCGACCGCGGAUCUCCGACCCCCUUUUCUUGAGGCUGUCGCUGCUGCUAACGGUGGUGGAGACGGUGGUCGCCGACGCGGUGCUGUCGCUGCCCAACGUCUGGCGGCGGGCGACGAACUGCCCGAUGCGGUGCGUGCGUGCAAGAAGUGUUCGAGAGCCAGUACGUCGUCUUCACCGUCGGCACCUUCAUCGCCUCCUUCCUCACGGCUUGGGCCGCCAGCUUCUCAAGUGGAAGAUGAUCCUGCUGCCAUCAAGUUUCGGUUUCUUGUCAGUUGUUAGCUUGAAUUAAUACAUGUACUUUUGGUUAUGCAAAUGUAGGUUCUGUUGUUAGAUCUUGUAGUUAGUUGUAGAUGGAGUUUCUGCUUGUUUGAAAUCCCAAGGACUGCCUGGUAGUAGUGUAUCAUAAGUAAGCUUUUAAAAGUAUGGUUGAUCGACUGGACGAUAUUCCAUGUCUACUUUUCGUAC
This is a long non-coding RNA of Triticum dicoccoides, 762 nucleotides long. RefSeq lists it as uncharacterized. Lineage: Eukaryota; Viridiplantae; Streptophyta; Magnoliopsida; Poales; Poaceae. The record is from RefSeq and is a predicted model, not a curated record. The transcript has 3 exons.